Molecule: non-coding RNA, 73 nt
Organism: Myotis brandtii (Brandt's bat)
Lineage: Eukaryota; Metazoa; Chordata; Mammalia; Chiroptera; Vespertilionidae
Source: Rfam
GACCAAAUAGCUCAGUUGGUUAGAGCAUUGUCCUGAUAUGCCAAGGUGGCAGGUUCAAUCCCUGUUCAGGGCA